GAUCUCAGUUGGUUAGAGCGUGGUGCUGAUAACGCCAGGGUUGCAGGUUCGAGCCCCAUAUGGGACA
RNAcentral lists this transfer RNA (67 nucleotides) under Podarcis lilfordi (Lilford's wall lizard). RNAcentral describes it as "tRNA.Ile". Lineage: Eukaryota; Metazoa; Chordata; Lepidosauria; Squamata; Lacertidae. The record is from RNAcentral.